Molecule: ribosomal RNA, 406 nt
Filed under: uncultured bacterium
Lineage: Bacteria
Description: partial 16S ribosomal RNA
Rfam family: Bacterial small subunit ribosomal RNA
Source: RNAcentral
AUUGAACGCUGGCGGUAGGCCUAACACAUGUAAGUCGAACGAGCGGUGGACGGGUGAGGAAUACACCGGAAUCUACUCUGUCGUGGGGGAUAACGUAGGGAAACUUACGCUAAUACCGCAUACGUCUGAAUGAGCCGAUGUCGGUUUAGCUAGUUGGCGGGGUAAAGGCCUACAACGGCGACGACCCGUAGCUGGUCUGAGAGGAUGAUCAGCCACACUGGAACUGAGACGCGGUCCGGACUCCUACGGGGAGGAGCAGUGGGGAAUAUUACACAAAGGGCGCAAGCCUGAUGCAGCCAUGCCGCGUGUAUGAAGAAGGCCUUCGGGUUGUAAAGUACUUUCAGCGAGGAGGCGUUACCCGCAGAAGAAGCACCGGCUAACUCCGUGCCAGCAGCCGCGGUAAUAC